RNAcentral lists this ribosomal RNA (406 nucleotides) under uncultured bacterium. RNAcentral's name for it is "partial 16S ribosomal RNA". It matches the Rfam family "Bacterial small subunit ribosomal RNA", at positions 30 to 526 of the family's 1533-position model. The record is from RNAcentral.
AUUGAACGCUGGCGGCAGGCCUAACACAUGCAAGUCGAACGCGUGGCGGACGGGUGAGAAAUGUCUGGGAAACUGCCUGAUGGAGGGGGAUAACUACUGGACACGGUAGCUAAUACCGCAUACCAUCGGAUACGCCCAGAUGGGAUUAGCUAGUGGGUGGGGUAAAGGCUCACCUAGGACACGAUCCCUAGCUGGUCUGAGAGGAUGACCAGCCACACUGGAACUGAGACACGGUCCAGACUCCUACGGGAGGCAGCAGUGGGGAAUAUUGCACAAUGGGCGCAAGCCUGAUGCAGCCAUGCCGCGUGUAUGAAGAAGGCCUUCGGGUUGUAAAGUACUUUCAGCGGGGAGGCGUUACCCGCAGAAGAAGCACCGGCUAACUCCGUGCCAGCAGCCGCGGUAAUUC